CGCCGUCAGAAAUCCAAGCUUCGACGCAGAGGGACUGGGACUCGGGAGCCGCAGAGUGCGUGCGACUUUUCUGUUACUGAGCAUGCGCAGUAGAAAUUGCGGCGGUCACCGCCCUCAGAUCGAAACAGGGUAGAUCCAGGAGGCAGCCCCUGAGGCUCUCUGGCCCUUCAGAGUUCAAACAGUCAAAAAGAUGGAAAAUUUUCCCGUGGCUUUAUUUUAUUUCCUUCAUUCAGUUUCCAAGCCCACAGGCUGAGCUUCCUUGCAGAAUCACAAUCCUCAGUUUGUAAUAUCAGUCCUCUCCACACAACCCAAUUAUGAUACCACAAAUUAAGGAAGACAUCAGAUGGAGAAUCAGUUGCAAGAUCAGAAGAACUCUUAAUGGUGACACCCCCAGACAGAUUGACAUCAGCACUGCCUAGCCUGUUUGAUGGCCUAUCAUGGUCAUCAGCUGUAUAAAGAACCCACUGAAAGGAGCCAGGGGCUACACCUUAUGAGUCAGCAGGACAAGUAGGGACAUGCCAUGUGCUGUGAAGCUUGUGUUUGGGACACAGGAAGUACAAGCCAGAUGGCAAAAGGAAUAUAAAGGACAGCUGCAUCAUCUCCAUUUUGUAUUUAUUUCUGCUUCUUACCUCUGGAGUAACUU
Long non-coding RNA from Chrysemys picta bellii (western painted turtle), 643 nucleotides. RefSeq lists it as uncharacterized. NCBI's taxonomy places the organism in Eukaryota, Metazoa, Chordata, Testudines, Emydidae. The record is from RefSeq and is a predicted model, not a curated record.